CCUACGGGAGGCAGCAGUAGGGAAUCUUCCACAAUGGACGAAAGUCUGAUGGAGCAACGCCGCGUGAGUGAUGAAGGUUUUCGGAUCGUAAAACUCUGUUGUAAGGGAAGAACAAGUACGUUAGGAAAUGAACGUACCUUGACGGUACCUUAUUAGAAAGUCCACGGCUAACUACGUGCCAGCAGCCGCGGUAUACGUAGUGGCAAGCGUUGUCCGGAUUUAUUGGGCGUAAAGCGCGCGCAGGCGGUUUUCUUAAGUCUGAUGUGAAAGCCCACGGCUUAACCGUGGAGGGUCAUUGGAAACUGGGAGACUUGAGUGCAGAAGAGGAAAGUGGAAUUCCAAGUGUAGCGGUGAAAUGCGUAGAGAUUUGGAGGAACACCAGUGGCGAGGCGACUUUUCUGGUCUGCAACUGACGCUGAGGCGCGAAAGCAUGGGGAGCAAACAGGAUUAGAUACCCUGGUAGUCCAUGCCGUAAACGAUGAGUGCUAAGUGUUAGGGGGUUUCCGCCCCUUAGUGCUGCAGCUAACGCAUUAAGCACUCCGCGUGGGGGAGUACGACCGCAAGGUUGAAACUCAAAGGAAUUGACGGGGGCCCGCACAAGCGGUGGAGCAUGUGUUUAUUUCGAAGCAACGCGAAGAACCUUAC
Molecule: ribosomal RNA, 645 nt
Filed under: bacterium HN3-5-32
Lineage: Bacteria
Description: bacterial SSU rRNA
Rfam family: Bacterial small subunit ribosomal RNA
Source: RNAcentral